RNAcentral lists this ribosomal RNA (480 nucleotides) under uncultured bacterium. Its description in RNAcentral is "partial 16S ribosomal RNA". It matches the Rfam family "Bacterial small subunit ribosomal RNA", at positions 28 to 507 of the family's 1533-position model. The record is from RNAcentral.
GAUGAACGCUCGCGGCAGGCCUAACACAUGCAAGUCGAGGGGGAGGUUACUUUCGGGUAACUGAGACCGGCGUACGGGUGCGUAACGCGUAUACAAUCUGCCUUUCACUGGGGGAUAGCCCGAAGAAAUUUGGAUUAAUACCCCAUAGUAUAGUAAUACGGCAUCGUGAUGCUAUUAAAGCUUAGGUGGUGAAAGAUGAGUAUGCGUUCUAUUAGCUAGUUGGAGAGGUAACGGCUCCCCAAGGCGAUGAUAGAUAGGGGCUCUGAGAGGGAUGUCCCCCACACUGGUACUGAGAUACGGACCAGACUCCUACGGGAGGCAGCAGUGAGGAAUAUUGGACAAUGGUCGGAAGACUGAUCCAGCCAUGCCGCGUGCAGGAUGAAGGUCUUAUGGAUUGUAAACUGCUUUUGUAAGGGAAGAAUAAGGGCUACGCGUAGUUUGAUGACGGUACCUUACGAAUAAGCAUCGGCUAACUCCGUG